CAGUAGCUCCAAUGGUAGAGCGGCGGUCUCCAAAACCGCAUGUUCCAGGUUCGAGUCCUGGCUG
RNAcentral lists this transfer RNA (64 nucleotides) under Deltaproteobacteria bacterium 13_1_40CM_68_24. RNAcentral describes it as "tRNA-Trp". It matches the Rfam family "tRNA", at positions 5 to 66 of the family's 71-position model. From Rfam's summary of the family: Transfer RNA (tRNA) molecules are approximately 80 nucleotides in length. The record is from RNAcentral. Lineage: Bacteria; Deltaproteobacteria.